AACGAACGCUGGCGGCAGGCCUAGCACAUGCAAGUCGAGCGAGGACUUCGGUCCUAGCGGCGGACGGGUGAGUAACGCGUGGGAACGUGCCCUUUGCUUCGGAAUAGCCCUGGGAAACUGGGAGUAAUACCGGAUGAGCCCUUUGGGGGAAAGAUUUAUCGGCGAAGGAUCGGCCCGCGUUGGAUUAGGUAGUUGGUGGGGUAAUGGCCUACCAAGCCGACGAUCCAUAGCUGGUUUGAGAGGAUGAUCAGCCACACUGGGACUGAGACACGGCCCAGACUCCUACGGGAGGCAGCAGUGGGGAAUCUUAGACAAUGGGGGAAACCCUGAUCGAGCCAUGCCGCGUGAGCGAUGAAGGCCUUAGGGUUGUAAAGCUCUUUCAGCUGGGAAGAUAAUGACGGUACCAGCAGAAGAAGCCCCGGCUAACUCCGUG
This 433-nucleotide ribosomal RNA is filed under the name uncultured bacterium. RNAcentral describes it as "partial 16S ribosomal RNA". It matches the Rfam family "Bacterial small subunit ribosomal RNA", at positions 29 to 507 of the family's 1533-position model. The record is from RNAcentral.